GAAAUCCUACCUACCAGUGUGAUUGCAGUAGCAGCCGGCGUUCUGAGAACGCCGGCUGCUACUGCAAUCACACUGGUAGGUAGGAUUUCG
Pelobates cultripes (western spadefoot toad) is the source of this 90-nucleotide non-coding RNA. The record is from the annotation of a GenBank genome assembly. NCBI's taxonomy places the organism in Eukaryota, Metazoa, Chordata, Amphibia, Anura, Pelobatidae.